AGUGAACGCUGGCGGUAGGCCUAACACAUGCAAGUCGAACGGCAGCACAGUAAGAGCUUGCUCUUACGGGUGGCGAGUGGCGGACGGGUGAGGAAUACAUCGGAAUCUACUUUUUCGUGGGUGAUAACGUAGGGCAACUUACGCUAAUACCGCAUACGACCUACGGGUGAAAGCAGGGGAUCUUCGGACCUUGCGCGAUUGAAUUAGCCGAUGUCGGAUUAGCUAGUUGGCGGGGUAAAGGCCCACCAAGGCGACGAUCCGUAGCUGGUCUGAGAGGAUGAUCAGCCACACUGGAACUGAGACACGGUCCAGACUCCUACGGGAGGCAGCAGUGGGGAAUAUUGGACAAUGGGCGCAAGCCUGAUCCAGCCAUACCGCGUGGGUGAAGAAGGCCUUCGGGUUGUAAAGCCCUUUUGUUGGGAAAGAAAAGCAGCAGGUUAAUACCCCGCUGUUCUGACGGUACCCAAAGAAUAAGCACCGGCUAACUUCGUG
RNAcentral lists this ribosomal RNA (492 nucleotides) under uncultured bacterium. RNAcentral's name for it is "partial 16S ribosomal RNA". It matches the Rfam family "Bacterial small subunit ribosomal RNA", at positions 29 to 507 of the family's 1533-position model. The record is from RNAcentral.